This 350-nucleotide ribosomal RNA is filed under the name uncultured bacterium. RNAcentral describes it as "bacterial SSU rRNA". It matches the Rfam family "Bacterial small subunit ribosomal RNA", at positions 917 to 1269 of the family's 1533-position model. The record is from RNAcentral.
GGGCCCGCACAAGCGGUGGAGCAUGUGGUUUAAUUCGAUGAUACGCGAGGAACCUUACCAGGGCUUAAAUGUAGUCUGACAGCUUUAGAGAUAGAGUUUUCUUCGGACAGAUUACAAGGUGCUGCAUGGUUGUCGUCAGCUCGUGCCGUGAGGUGUCAGGUUAAGUCCUAUAACGAGCGCAACCCCUGUCGUUAGUUGCCAGCAUGUCAUGAUGGGGACUCUAACGAGACUGCCGGUGCAAACCGCGAGGAAGGUGGGGAUGACGUCAAGUCAGCAUGCCCCUUAUGUCCUGGGCUACACACGUGCUACAAUGGCUAAGACAAAGAGUCGCGAGUUCGUGAGAACCAGCU